UUCAAGUAUGCCAUAGUUACAAGAAUAAUAUAUUCUUAAAUUCUCUCAUUCAACUAUUUUCAUUAUCCUACUGUUACUGACUUUUGGUAUCUUAGGGCCACAAGAAAGAAGAAUGAUCGACCAAGGAAGCUAAUUUUUUAGCCGUAACAGAGGGGACUACACCAGUAUGACUGUCAUGCCUGCAGCUAUUUGAUGUAGUUGUUCCAAAUACAAGACAUCACUUAAAUUUAAUAGGGGUCCCAAUACUAAUAGGAAGACGAAAGAUUGCAGGCGCAACUUUCACUAUAAUCAUUUACAGUUCUGAAGCAUUUUCCCAGCGUAUAUUCAGCAAGAAGGAAGUGUUAGUAGUGAUUCUCUUGCUGCUUUUGGAUAUUACAGCUUCGUGUCAGCUUACAACAUUGCUCGGUGUUCAGAAUUGCUUGCCUACCUGAUCAAUAGAAUCAAAUUUUGUUUGCACAAAGAUAAAUCAAACAAGAAGCAAGUGAAACCACAUCUACUCACUACAUCCAUGAUCCAUCACCAACCAUCCAUUUUGAAUUUUGACACCCCCAAAAUGCACUUUUAACAAUUUAUAUAUUUCUAAAAUUUGGUGAAAAUGCGUAUGCCAAACACAAAAAUCAUAAGGAAACCUAUAAUUUAAGGCACUCAAUUCUGAAAAUACAAAUCUCAUUACUCUGCCGGAACACCAUUCAUAUUCUUCUGUACAAAUACAAAAAUAUAAUCCAAAAAAUUCAAAAAAAUAUCUGAAAUCUGAAAAGUAUCUCUCCCUAAUCUUUUGUACGUGACCACCAUUGCUCUAUUACAUUUCUCUAUUAGUGUUAUCUUUUUCAAGGACUUUCUGUUUCACUAGAUGGUCUACAAAUCUACUUAUUGUGAAAAAAUUUUAGGGGGUCCCCUCACAACUUGAAGCUCUUCUUCGUUGUUGCUCCUCAGCAUGUUCAAUCCCAGUCCGCUGUCUGGCAAUCAAUUAAAGUUGUGUGAUUAAGUAUGGUAAUGG
RNAcentral lists this long non-coding RNA (997 nucleotides) under Olea europaea subsp. europaea. The record is from RNAcentral. Lineage: Eukaryota; Viridiplantae; Streptophyta; Magnoliopsida; Lamiales; Oleaceae.